Molecule: ribosomal RNA, 443 nt
Filed under: uncultured bacterium
Lineage: Bacteria
Description: partial 16S ribosomal RNA
Rfam family: Bacterial small subunit ribosomal RNA
Source: RNAcentral
CCUACGGGUGGCAGCAGUGGGGAAUAUUGGGCAAUGGAGGCAACUCUGACCCAGCAAUGCCGCGUGAGUGAUGAAGGUAAUUUUAUUGUAAAGCUCUUUUCUUUGGAACGAAUAAAUGACGGUACCAACGGAAUCAGCCCUGGCUAACUACGUGCCAGCAGCCGCGGCAAUACGUAGGGGGCCAGCGUUGUACGGGAUGACUGGGCGUUAAGGGUGUGUAGGGGGUUUGGUGAGUUAGAUGUGUAAUACCCAGGGCUUAACCCGGGUGCUGCAUCUAAAACUGGUAGUCUUGAGUACUGGAGAGGAUAGUGGAAGGCCUAGUGUAGCGGUGGAAUGCGUAGAUAUUAGGAAGAACAUCGGUGGCGAAGGCGACUAUCUGGACAGCAACUGACGCUGAGGCACGAAAGCGUGGGGAGCGAACAGGAUUAGAUACCCGUGUAGUC